This 368-nucleotide ribosomal RNA is filed under the name uncultured organism. Its description in RNAcentral is "bacterial SSU rRNA". It matches the Rfam family "Bacterial small subunit ribosomal RNA", at positions 526 to 896 of the family's 1533-position model. The record is from RNAcentral.
CGGAGGAUCCAAGCGUUAUCCGGAUUUAUUGGGUUUAAAGGGUGCGUAGGCGGGACAGUAAGUCAGUGGUGAAAUCCUAUCGCUUAACGAUAGAAUUGCCAUUGAUACUGCUGACCUUGAGUACAAAUGAUGUGGGCGGAAUGUGCAGUGUAGCGGUGAAAUGCUUAGAUAUUGCACAGAACACCGAUAGCGAAGGCAGCUCACAAAAAUGUAACUGACGCUGAGGCACGAAAGUAUGGGGAUCAAACAGGAUUAGAUACCCUGGUAGUCCAUACAGUAAACGUUGAUAACUCGAUGUGUGCGAUAUACAGUACGCGUCCAAGGGAAACCGAUAAGUUAUCCACCUGGGGAGUACGACCGCAAGGUUG